GAUUUUAGCAGUGUCCGACGCGGUAUCUCAUCACGAUCCCCGCACCUUUUUUGUUUGUUAACCUAAACUUUCCCUUCCCGCAGCAUCGCCUUUCCUCUCCGCAGCGCAACACGAUUUCUUCCAUCGCUGACAAGGAGGUCGUCGACAAGGAGGCAGGCGGUUGUUGCCUCACUGGCCACCUCUAGAGCAGUCGACCCUCAACCUUGUCGCCUGCCUCCUUGUCGGCGGCCUCCUCCCAUCGUAGCACGAUCUCCACCAGUCACCAUCGCGAUGCAGCCGUUGCCUCUCUUCUCUUGUAGGCGGUUCGCGAGCGGCUACUUGAACGGUGAUGUAACCCUUUCUUCCUCUCGUUGCGGCAAUCCACAAGAAGCUUUUAGUUCUAGGGAUUUCUUCGCGUGGCCUCGAGGUCGUUCAUGGCCACCUUGCACUUACGUGGCUCGUUCUUUGCUAACUAGAAUGCUACCCGCAACCUAGCUUCCUCCGCAACUCCUCCCACUGCCCGCGACCUAGCCUCCUCCACCACUCCUCCGCCCACUCAUCAUCAUCAGUUCUUCAACUGUUAGGAUCUAGCUAUGGCAGGGCUCUAUUGCCAUAGUGACCAUUUCAGGUUUGCAGAAUCAAAUCCUCCAAUCACGAACGAACUCAUUAAGGUGUCUUGGUGGGUUAUAACUCAAUGCAUGAAAUUGAUUUCUUGGUGCAUCGACUGCUUGAAUUUGCGAGAUAUGAUUCGGAUGACAUUCCAAUCCAGGUAGUGAAGUUUCACUUACUCUUUUCAUUUAUCCCACAUAAUUGGUUUAGCACAUUGAAAUUUUCUAACAUGCUUGGUUGUAGCACUGCAUUGCGCUUCACACACCUGAUAUAAUGUGGCUCUAUAAUAUGUUUCUGUUGUGCUCAAAGUUUCCACAAGCACUUGAAGUUGUUGUUGCUACAAAAUUCACUUAAAGAAUGAUUAGAAAUUGGAAAAAAAAAAUACUAAACAUGAAAUAUUUAUUUCUGUUCUUUAUACCUUGAAAUGAGUACCUAUGCAGGAGAAUUAGGAAGGAAAGGGAUUUGCUACAAAAGAAAGUAGAGCUUGUUGCUCUUCAACAACAUAUUCUCUCUUCUUAUUGAGGAACUGAUUAAUUUGGUAAGCAAUUCGUUUAAUAAUUCACACAUUCUUUAAGUUCCAAAUCACAAUAAAUCAGUUUAGAAUUAACAAUUUUCACCUUCUUUUUCUUGGGUCUUCGAGUUGAUUUUGGAAACAUACUUUGCACUCAGCAUGCUCUCUAGCCGAGGAAUCUUUGCCUACUCUAACAACUAGUCAAUCAUCGUGCUCUCGGACUUUUACGAUUUAAUGUUGUAAUUCUCUUGCAGUAGCUGAUUUCAAUUGUGCCAUCUAUAAGCAAAAUAAAUUCUGUCGAAAAGUAUAUUCAGGUCGACAAUCAUGAAUUUUGGUUCAUGGGGUUUCUGAACUACGACACUGUUGUGCACCAUCUGCACAAAGCUUUGCGCCAUAUGCAAAAGGAAGCAUCGUCGCAACUAUACAUCCAGAUAUUCUAAUCAUGUAACUUUUGCACUGGGCAAUAGACCUAGGGUUUUUCUUUGGUUCAUGUCAAUAUUUAUAUUGUUGUUUAGAAAAAUUGAUGAGCUUUGUAAAAUGAUUAUUAGAUGAAUAAAAAUUAUGUAUUCAUAUUUUGAUUUUA
Zingiber officinale is the source of this 1682-nucleotide long non-coding RNA. RefSeq lists it as uncharacterized. The transcript is spliced from 5 exons. NCBI's taxonomy places the organism in Eukaryota, Viridiplantae, Streptophyta, Magnoliopsida, Zingiberales, Zingiberaceae. The record is from RefSeq and is a predicted model, not a curated record.